This 499-nucleotide ribosomal RNA is filed under the name uncultured bacterium. RNAcentral's name for it is "bacterial SSU rRNA". It matches the Rfam family "Bacterial small subunit ribosomal RNA", at positions 28 to 517 of the family's 1533-position model. The record is from RNAcentral.
GAUGAACGCUAGCGAUAGGCCUAACACAUGCAAGUCGAGGGGCAUCACAUGAAGUAGCAAUACGGAUGGUGGCGACCGGCGCACGGGUGAGUAACACGUAUGCAACCUGCCUUCAACAAGGGGAUAACCCGUUGAAAGACGGACUAAUACCCUAUAACACAGGGGUCCCGCAUGGGGAUAUUUGUUAAAGGACAACCGGUUGAAGAUGGGCAUGCGUUCCAUUAGCUAGUUGGCGGGGUAAGGGCCCACCAAGGCAACGAUGGAUAGGGGAACUGAGAGGUUUAUCCCCCACACUGGUACUGAGACACGGACCAGACUCCUACGGGAGGCAGCAGUGAGGAAUAUUGGUCAAUGGGCGAGAGCCUGAACCAGCCAAGUCGCGUGCAGGAAGAAUGUCCUAUGGAUUGUAAACUGCUUUUGCAGGGGAAUAAAGUGAGCCACGUGUGGUUUUUGUAUGUACUCUGCGAAUAAGGAUCGGCUAACUCCGUGCCAGCAGCCG